Molecule: ribosomal RNA, 1372 nt
Filed under: uncultured bacterium
Lineage: Bacteria
Description: bacterial SSU rRNA
Rfam family: Bacterial small subunit ribosomal RNA
Source: RNAcentral
GAUGAACGCUGGCGGCGUGCCUAAUACAUGCAAGUCGAGCGAACGGACGAGAAGCUUGCUUCUCUGAUGUUAGCGGCGGACGGGUGAGUAACACGUGGAUAACCUACCUAUAAGACUGGGGUAACUUCGGGAAACCGGAGCUAAUACCGGAUAAUAUUUUGAACCGCAUGGUUCAAAAGUGAAAGACGGUCUUGCUGUCACUUAUAGAUGGAUCCGCGCUGCAUUAGCUAGUUGGUAAGGUAACGGCUUACCAAGGCAACGAUGCAUAGCCGACCUGAGAGGGUGAUCGGCCACACUGGAACUGAGACACGGUCCAGACUCCUACGGGAGGCAGCAGUAGGGAAUCUUCCGCAAUGGGCGAAAGCCUGACGGAGCAACGCCGCGUGAGUGAUGAAGGUCUUCGGAUCGUAAAACUCUGUUAUUAGGGAAGAACAUAUGUGUAAGUAACUAUGCACAUCUUGACGGUACCUAAUCAGAAAGCCACGGCUAACUACGUGCCAGCAGCCGCGGUAAUACGUAGGUGGCAAGCGUUAUCCGGAAUUAUUGGGCGUAAAGCGCGCGUAGGCGGUUUUUUAAGUCUGAUGUGAAAGCCCACGGCUCAACCGUGGAGGGUCAUUGGAAACUGGAAAACUUGAGUGCAGAAGAGGAAAGUGGAAUUCCAUGUGUAACGGUGAAAUGCGCAGAGAUAUGGAGGAACACCAGUGGCGAAGGCGACUUUCUGGUCUGUAACUGACGCUGAUGUGCGAAAGCGUGGGGAUCAAACAGGAUUAGAUACCCUGGUAGUCCACGCCGUAAACGAUGAGUGCUAAGUGUUAGGGGGUUUCCGCCCCUUAGUGCUGCAGCUAACGCAUUAAGCACUCCGCCUGGGGAGUACGACCGCAAGGUUGAAACUCAAAGGAAUUGACGGGGACCCGCACAAGCGGUGGAGCAUGUGGUUUAAUUCGAAGCAACGCGAAGAACCUUACCAAAUCUUGACAUCCUUUGACAACUCUAGAGAUAGAGCUUUCCCCUUCGGGGGACAAAGUGACAGGUGGUGCAUGGUUGUCGUCAGCUCGUGUCGUGAGAUGUUGGGUUAAGUCCCGCAACGAGCGCAACCCUUAAGCUUAGUUGCCAUCAUUAAGUUGGGCACUCUAAGUUGACUGCCGGUGACAAACCGGAGGAAGGUGGGGAUGACGUCAAAUCAUCAUGCCCCUUAUGAUUUGGGCUACACACGUGCUACAAUGGACAAUACAAAGGGCAGCGAAACCGCGAGGUCAAGCAAAUCCCAUAAAGUUGUUCUCAGUUCGGAUUGUAGUCUGCAACUCGACUACAUGAAGCUGGAAUCGCUAGUAAUCGUAGAUCAGCAUGCUACGGUGAAUACGUUCCCGGGUCU